Pelobates cultripes (western spadefoot toad) is the source of this 218-nucleotide non-coding RNA. The record is from the annotation of a GenBank genome assembly. Lineage: Eukaryota; Metazoa; Chordata; Amphibia; Anura; Pelobatidae.
CUUUGCAGGUCUAAGAACACCAGCUUGUGCAUACUGCUCCUCCACAGCCCAUACUACUAAUUUUUGUCCCAACACGGCAGACGGACAUGCCUCCACACAAGGAACUAGUUCCUCUGGGGAUCCAGGGAAACUAUCGAAAGACAAAUUGGGACGCCCAAUCAAGUUUCUGGGCAAGUCCCAAAUAUGUAAUAAUUUCAAUGUUGGGUCUUGUAAUUACA